RNAcentral lists this transfer RNA (57 nucleotides) under Camelus bactrianus (Bactrian camel). It matches the Rfam family "tRNA". From Rfam's summary of the family: Transfer RNA (tRNA) molecules are approximately 80 nucleotides in length. Their secondary structure includes four short double-helical elements and three loops (D, anti-codon, and T loops). Further hydrogen bonds mediate the characteristic L-shaped molecular structure. tRNAs have two regions of fundamental functional importance: the anti-codon, which is responsible for specific mRNA codon recognition, and the 3' end, to which the tRNAs corresponding amino acid is attached (by aminoacyl-tRNA synthetases). tRNAs cope with the degeneracy of the genetic code in two manners: having more than one tRNA (with a specific anti-codon) for a particular amino acid; and 'wobble' base-pairing, i.e. permitting non-standard base-pairing at the 3rd anti-codon position. Lineage: Eukaryota; Metazoa; Chordata; Mammalia; Artiodactyla; Camelidae. RNAcentral also lists the same sequence under 1 other name. The record is from Rfam by way of RNAcentral.
GGGUAUAGCUCAGUGGUAGAGCGCAUGCAGUCCUGGGUUCAAUCCCCAGUACCUCCA